This 468-nucleotide ribosomal RNA is filed under the name uncultured bacterium. RNAcentral's name for it is "partial 16S ribosomal RNA". It matches the Rfam family "Bacterial small subunit ribosomal RNA", at positions 28 to 507 of the family's 1533-position model. The record is from RNAcentral.
GACGAACGCUGGCGGCGUGCUUAACACAUGCAAGUCGAACGGAAAGGCCCUGCUUUUGUGGGGUGCUCGGGUGGCGAACGGGUGAGUAACACGUGAGUAACCUGCCCUUGACUUUGGGAUAACUUCAGGAAACUGGGGCUAAUACCGGAUAGGAGCUCCUGCUGCAUGGUGGGGGUUGGAAAGUUUCGGCGGUUGGGGAUGGACUCGCGGCUUAUCAGCUUGUUGGUGGGGUAGUGGCUUACCAAGGCUUUGACGGGUAGCCGGCCUGAGAGGGUGACCGGCCACAUUGGGACUGAGAUACGGCCCAGACUCCUACGGGAGGCAGCAGUGGGGAAUAUUGCACAAUGGGCGGAAGCCUGAUGCAGCAACGCCGCGUGCGGGAUGACGGCCUUCGGGUUGUAAACCGCUUUCGCCUGUGACGAAGCGUGAGUGGCGGUAAUGGGUAAAGAAGCACCGGCUAACUACGUG